This 182-nucleotide ribosomal RNA is filed under the name Curtobacterium sp. MCBD17_023. RNAcentral describes it as "partial 16S ribosomal RNA". It matches the Rfam family "Bacterial small subunit ribosomal RNA", at positions 1 to 180 of the family's 1533-position model. The record is from RNAcentral. Lineage: Bacteria; Bacillati; Actinomycetota; Actinomycetes; Micrococcales; Microbacteriaceae.
UUUUACGGAGAGUUUGAUCCUGGCUCAGGACGAACGCUGGCGGCGUGCUUAACACAUGCAAGUCGAACGAUGAUCAGGAGCUUGCUCCUGUGAUUAGUGGCGAACGGGUGAGUAACACGUGAGUAACCUGCCCCUGACUCUGGGAUAAGCGUUGGAAACGACGUCUAAUACUGGAUAUGACU